GUCACAGCAGUACAACAGUGAAAAUUUACGUUAACAUUAGAAACUACUCAGCUAGAACAAAAUGAAUUACAAGGUUACUUUCACCAUCUUUGCUCUCUUUGCACUGUACGUACCAUCUACACAAGAGCCACACUCAAAAAUGGCAGGGAAGUUUGCCUGGAUCCUGAAGCUCCUUGGGUGAAGAAAAUAAUCAACAGAGCUUUGGAUAAUAAUUGAAAGAAUUCUCUGACCCAUGGGGAGAAGAUGGAAAAAGUACGACGUCACAGAUUGGCACGGAAAAGCACCAUCGCUUGCCCCUAUGCUACUGCUAGAAGCUCACCUUACAUUUUGGUUUGAUUCAUUUUGAGUUGAAAAUCAUUAAAAUCUGUAUUUAUGUUCACCUUGUGGCAUACUCAUCUAAGCAGCUUCUUCAGUUAUACUUAAUGAAACUACAUCUUGUGCAGAGAUAAUGAUAGUAGAAUAAGAAAAUGAUCCUGAUUGACAGAACCAACCAGAAUCAUAGAAACAUAAUGGUGGGAGAUGAUUGGCUCAGCUGCAUGCGUCACCUGAUAAUCAAUAAUGCAAUAUAACCUGAUAUUGCUGUACUUGAUUUGCAGCUUGUAGGCAACAGUGCCUUAAUGUUGAUAUAAUGUGGCAUCCUGCCUCUAACCCCUUCCAGACUGUGGGUUCUGAAUUUUUAUCACUUUGAGCAAAAAGAAUUCUUCUCAUCUCUCCUCAAAUCUUGUAAUCAUUAUUUUAAAUCCCUCACUUGCAUGGAUUUAAGAACCACUUGCUAAAAUAAAUGGAUCUUCCCAUUUAUUCUUUCUUAGCUGGGCAGAAUAACAUACUAAAUAAAUCUUCCCUCAAUCCCCUAUAUUUCAGAGAAAAGAAUCUCGGAAGAUGUUUCCUAACAUUUUCCAGUCACAGCAACUUCCACAAUAACUUUGUUAGUUCAGUUGCAAAACUUUCUAUUGUGUGGAUCCAGAACAAUGUUCAGACACUACCUGUGAGCUAACAAGCAUUUUAUGGUUCUAGGACAACCUCUCUGCUCUUGUAUUCUGUACCCCAGUAAUAAAAUGCCAAGGUGAUUCUGCCACUGGGCCCUUGGGCUCCCCUACCCCAACCACCACUCUCCAAGGCUGGGUCUCUCAGGCUCCAUUGUCAACUCUUGGGUCCUUGGAGCCUCCAUUUUUUCCUACCCCACUUUCCAUGAACACCCUAACCCUCCCCUCCCCUCUGGCGCCAAACCUCUUCCCCCCCUCUAAUCCCAGCUCUAAUCCUUGUUGUGUCUUCACCAUUCCCUCAGAUCUUCCCCUCUCUGAGGAAGAAUGUUCUGUCCUCAGCGAGGGCCUUACCUUUGUCCCGUUUGCCCACAUCUCAGUGAAUUUUGUGCCUGCCAAGACACCAGGCUUUCCUUCCCUCGUCUCUAUCCCUGAGCCCGCAUCCUUGGCAAGAAUUCCACACCCCGCACUGAUGACCCCUUCUCCAGACUUCAGCCUUCCUCUUCUUCUUGGACACCCUGUUCUGGUUCUCUGCCAGCUCUGGAUCUUUUCAUCCUGAAUCACUGAUGAGAUACCAACCACCUUGACUUCAGCACUCCUCUCUUCUCCUCCAACCUUAUCCCCUCUGAGCUCUCUCCGCACCAAUCCCAACCUUACCAUCAAACCUGCAGACAGAGGGUGUGCUGUUGUAGUGUGGUGCACUAACCUCUACCUUGCUGAGGUCAGGCAGAGGAUCUUACUCCAGACCAUCAGAAAGCUGUCUCCGACACCAUCUCUGACCUCAUCAGCUCUGGAGAACUCCCAUCCCUGCCAUCAAAUUUAUAGUUCCUCGUCCUCACAUUCCUCACUUUUACAUCCUACCCAAGACCCACAAACCUGACUGUCUGGAUAGGCUCAUUGUCUCUGCCUGCUCCUGUCCCACUGAAUUCUUGUCCUCAUUCCUCGAUUCUAUUCUAUCACUCUUGGUUCAGUCCCCUCUCACCUACAUUUGUGACACUUCUUGUGCUCUCGAUAUCCUCAUUAAAUUUCAGUUCUCCGGCCCUGAUUGCCUCAUUUUCACCAUGGAUGUCCAGUCACUAUACACAUCUAUUCCCAAUUAAGAAGGCCUUCUUUCUCAAUAAAUGAACAAACCAGUUCCCCUCCACCCUCCUCCUCCUCCUCCUUCAUCUAGCAGAGCUGGUCCUCGUCAUCAGAUCUCAUUCCUACGCUCUGAUUCCCUAAACUUUGCCAAAGUAUUGAACCAAACUGUCUUCUCCUAAUGAAUCAAUGCUAGCUGCAUUGUAUUAACCUUUGCCAAUGUAAGCUUUAUAUUUUUGGAGUGUUCAAUAAUUGUAGUUCAUAGUCUUAUGGUAAAACAAGAAUGUUUAUUGGUUUUCAAAAACUGAGUAUUCCUUUGUUCAUUAUUAUUGAAGUAUUAAGAUUGGUUAAGAUUUCUUUUUGUAUGUUUAAAUAGCAGUUCAUCUAUGUUGAUUUUCAUAAUCUGAUAAUAUUGUUAUAGCCAAUAAAAUGUUCCCAUUGCAUUGAUUUAUAAUGAAUUUUAUAAGGAAGAGUUUAAUAGAGGGAGCAGGAUGGAUUACUUGCAUUGACAUCAUUGUAUUCAGAAAAGCGUUAUGAGUUGAAAUUCAUGGAGUGUGGGCUCAUCUCAAUAGAAUUCCUGCGGUUCAGAUGGUGAACAGAUGGUUAACCGGCAGAUGAAAACCCCCUUCAUCAGAGGCAGUGUUGCGCAACUGUACAAGAUUGCAGUGAAAGGUCCAGCGAGCAGAUGUGAAGAAGUCCAUAAACUUUAAUGUUUUUGCACACUGGAAAAAUACAACAUACGAAAAUGAUGAAUUUCUUGCAAACUCAUCCCAAUGGAAUGGUGAAUUUAAAUGCUUUUAAAACAACCAAUGUCCCAUCAGAUUCAGGAACCAGUCAUUAUUGUGUUUGUCUAACUAUAUGCACGAGUUUGUAAAUGAACACCAAUUCAAAUAAAGAUCACCUCAUUAUUACU
Molecule: long non-coding RNA, 2970 nt
Organism: Mobula hypostoma (lesser devil ray)
Lineage: Eukaryota; Metazoa; Chordata; Chondrichthyes; Myliobatiformes; Myliobatidae
Exons: 3
Source: RefSeq, a predicted model, not a curated record